This 487-nucleotide ribosomal RNA is filed under the name uncultured bacterium. Its description in RNAcentral is "bacterial SSU rRNA". It matches the Rfam family "Bacterial small subunit ribosomal RNA", at positions 28 to 507 of the family's 1533-position model. The record is from RNAcentral.
GAUGAACGCUAGCGGGAGGCUUAACACAUGCAAGUCGAGGGGCAGCAUAGGGUAGCAAUACUCUGAUGGCGACCGGCAAACGGGUGAGUAACGCGUAUGCAACCUACCCUGUACAGGGGGAUAACCCGGAGAAAUUCGGACUAAUAUCCCGUAAUAAUAUCCGGAGGCAUCCUUGGAUAUUUAAAGUUCCGACGGUACGGGAUGGGCAUGCGUAACAUUAACUGGUUGGUAAGGUAACGGCUUACCAAGGCUAUGAUGUUUAGGGGUCCUGAGAGGGUGGUCCCCCACACUGGUACUGAGACACGGACCAGACUCCUACGGGAGGCAGCAGUGAGGAAUAUUGGUCAAUGGGCGCAAGCCUGAACCAGCCAUCCCGCGUGCAGGAAGACGGCCCUAUGGGUUGUAAACUGCUUUUCCAGGGAGAGAAACUUACGCACGUGUUGCGUGACUGACGGUACCCUGGGAAUAAGCAUCGGCUAACUCCGUG